UAUGACUAUAGUUCUAAAUGAAAUAGCAAAGUUUUCUAAAAAAAAUAUUUUCAGGUAAUAUAUUCAGUUGUUUUGGACUACUGGUAAUUAAGACGUGACUUAGGAUGACAGCCGAGAUUAUGAUUUAAGGUGUUGACAUUGUUCAAUAUAUUAUUUUUUUGGUCAUAUCUGUACUGUCUUUUGACUAGUAGUUACCACAGUAUUAUUUAAUUAUAGCUUUACAUUUUAAAGUUAACAAGUUAUUUUUUACUAUUUCAAAUGCUCUGCAUACAUAACUAAACAGGAAGCUCAAAAGCAACAGGAUGUAAUUAAGACGUGACUUAGGAUGACAGCCAAGAUUAUGAUUUAAGGAAGCUCAAAAGCAACAGGAUAGCAAGGAUUUUGAGACCAAGAUGUACAUCCUGCAGAUUUACAGACCAAGAUGAAGUACAUCCUGCUGAUUUACAGACCAAAAUAAAGUACAUUCUGCUGAUAUACAGACCAAAAUAAAGUAAAAUCUGCUGAUUUUCAGACCAAAAUAAAGUACAUUCUGAUGAUUUACAGACACUUGUAUGGGCUGCUUGUAAUUAAAGUGUCUGUAGAUAA
Long non-coding RNA from Biomphalaria glabrata, 585 nucleotides. RefSeq lists it as uncharacterized. NCBI's taxonomy places the organism in Eukaryota, Metazoa, Mollusca, Gastropoda, Planorbidae. The record is from RefSeq and is a predicted model, not a curated record. The transcript has 3 exons.